Molecule: transfer RNA, 65 nt
Filed under: Tuxedo drakei
Lineage: Eukaryota; Metazoa; Arthropoda; Insecta; Hemiptera; Miridae
Description: tRNA-Pro
Source: RNAcentral
CAGUGGUUAGUUUAAAUAAAAAUAUUAAUUUUGGAGAUUAAUGAUGGGAAUUUUCUUGCCACUGA